GUGGCAAGCGUUAUCCGGAAUUAUUGGGCGUAAGGCGUCCGCAGGCGGCCCUACAAGUCUGCUGUUAAAAAGUGGAGCUUAACUCCAUCAUGGCAGUGGAAACUGUUGGGCUUGAGUGUGGUAGGGGCAGAGGGAAUUCCCGGUGUAGCGGUGAAAUGCGUAGAUAUCGGGAAGAACACCAGUGGCGAAGGCGCUCUGCUGGGCCAUCACUAACGCUCAUGGACGAAAGCCAGGGGAGCGAAAGGGAUUAGAUACCCCUGUAGUCCUGGCCGUAAACGAUGAACACUAGGUGUCGGGGGAAUCGACCCCUCCGGUGUCGUAGCCAACGCGUUAAGUGUUCCGCCUGGGGAGUACGCACGCAAGUGUGAAACUCAAAGGAAUUGACGGGGGCCCGCACAAGCGGUGGAGUAUGUGGUUUAAUUCGAUGCAACGCGAAGAACCUUACCAGGGUUUGACAUGGGAAGUACCGGUUACAGAAUGGUAACCUUCAGUUCGGCUGGCUUCCACACAGGUGCUGCAUGGCU
Molecule: ribosomal RNA, 524 nt
Filed under: uncultured Prochlorococcus sp.
Lineage: Bacteria; Bacillati; Cyanobacteriota; Cyanophyceae; Synechococcales; Prochlorococcaceae
Description: bacterial SSU rRNA
Rfam family: Bacterial small subunit ribosomal RNA
Source: RNAcentral